RNAcentral lists this long non-coding RNA (4634 nucleotides) under Mytilus galloprovincialis (Mediterranean mussel). Lineage: Eukaryota; Metazoa; Mollusca; Bivalvia; Mytilida; Mytilidae. The record is from RNAcentral.
UCAUAACAAUUUGGUUUUAUAAUAUUUCUAGUGUAAUUGAUGAAACCUUUUCAAGAUGAUUAGCUAUUUGCAAGUAUUCAUAAAAAAAAAUGCUAUUGUUGUAGCUUUAAUGGCUAUGUACGUGUAUGGAAAUAAAAGAAAAUGGAGAAAAUGUCGACCAAGCAUGAUCAAACAGGUAAUGAGAGGUAAAACAAAUAGAUAACUUUGUAUUACACUAAUGUAACGACUUCCACAUGUUCCAUAAAGGUAAAGAAAACAAACAUGAAACGGUAGUAGUUUGUCUAACAAUUUCAAACAUAAAUAAUUGCGUUUAGGUAAUUUUUCAUCUCAUCUCUGGCAUGCAAUUCGUAUCAUGUGAUUUUGUUUGGUCAUUCACUUAAAAGUAUAUCGUAUAUCUAGACACGCAAUUAGGAUAAAGGAGUUUUAGCAAGUGUUAUUUGCACUUAUUUACUAACUAUUUACCUGUAUACAGUUGAAAGAAAAACAUCAUAUCUGAAUUGAUAUUUUGGUCUUCGGAUUGCUGUCUCUUUGUUCUAUCUCUACAUUUGCUUUAUAUCUAUCAACUCGAUGUUGUAAUUUUUCAACUCUUUCAAAUUGAUGUCGUUAAAAUGAAGCAUGAUUUGCAACUUUUAUAAUAGAAAAGGAGCUCCAUGUUUUGAAGAUUGUAGCUGAAAGUAAAGAGGACCAAAUUAAAGAGUUGAAUCAAUCAUUAUCUACAAAAGCAGAGAGAGAGAAACUAACCGAAAUAGAAAAUCAACAAAUUGCAGGGACAAUAAAACUUACUGACGUAGAAAAUCAAUUCAGUGCUGAAACAAGAAAAGUAGAAAAUCAACUACUCAAGUCAAAUGAAAAAGGUUGGGCGCUAUAUUAUGAGUAAUUAUAACUAAUAUACUUUACAUAUGUCUGACCUGUUCAACAUUCUAAUGUAACCACCGAUAGUUUAGUCUUUGUGGAAAAAUUCUCAAACUUCCACUUCAAACGUAUGAAUUUAUCAAUAUUACGGUAAGAUUUUAUUUAAAUAUCAAAUAAGAUUUCGUAUUCAAACUUCACAUAAGAAGGCUAUGCUAGGUGUUGAUGCUUUUUUGCUCAAACCCUGGCUUUUAUAUAAAAAUCGAAAUGCAUGUAAUAAGAUCAUUUUGGUGGUUAAUUUUAUAUACUAUACAUGAGACGAAACUUCUCUACAAAAAUUGAUAUGAAAGUAGAUUGUUCGUAAUCACGGCAAACGACCUCAUGACAGAGUUGCUGCAACGACACUGCAACGUGCAGAUAGCUACAAAACUACUCUUGUAGGACACAACAGAAAUAAUGUCAAUAUUCAGACCAAAUGUGUUUGUGGUUGUGUAUUCAUACAUCACUCACAUCCAAAUGAAUAGAGUUUACCAUAUUCCUCACACCAGAAAAAUCUAAUGGGUCGCUAAAUGGUUGGAUUAAAUGAAGUCUGAAAAAAAUACUUCAAAAGACAUGAUUAAGAGGGAUAAUUAAAUACAACAAGGACAUGAAUAGAAAAAAAAAAACAAAAAAAAACAUUUCUUCACAUUCGUUAUAACAUUUUUUUGGUAAAUGUAAAGUUUAUUUUUAGUUCUCGCUUUGGAAAGGAAACAUGUAGAUGAAAUAAAUGACAAGACGCAAUUAUUAUCAACAAAAGCAGAGAAAAAAGGUUUGAAACUACAAAUUAUAUAAAUCAUUUGUUUGGGGGCAAACCUUUAACGGCAACUUAAUAAAAGAUUAUUCUAUUAACGGAAAAUCAGUUUUUGUGCAAACACUUCUAUUUAAAUUGCUUCAUUCGUGUAUAGCACCGUAUAGUAUAAAUCAUGACAAGACUUUUAACUUCACAAGUUGUUCAAUUUGACGAAAAAUCUCACGUAUAACACAAGUAGGUUAGUUUUGAUCUGAACGGGUCUUAGAAAAUACAGAAAAAUAAGUGUUUAAGUCAAUUUCAGUCUUUCAGUUGUUUUCAGACUCAUCUUGUGCGUUGAAUUCAGUACUGUUCAGACAAUUCGUCUGUUUUAAAUUAAUAUAGAUUCAGUCUAUUUUCAGACUAUUCAGUAUCGCUAUUUACCAGCACAUAACAAGAUGAAACUGAAUUGUAUGAAAAGCAACAAUUUAUUGUUAAAACUUUUCAAAUCAUGUUAAGUUCAUAAUGCAGUUUCAGACUUAACAUUAUUUGCUAGUGUUACAUGUUAUUACGACAUAUUUAUGUAUACUCAUGUUUAUGUUGUUCGUAUUCAACUUUCUUAUAUCAGUAUCAUUAUAUACAUCUUUAGACAUUUAUAACUGUUCUUGUUUGUGUACUAUCGUAAAUUGUAGACGACCAGAUACAUAUUAAAAUUCAUAUAUAUAUCUGCCUGUCUAAACAUGCGACAACUCUAUGACAGAUAUUUUCCCCCGAAAACACGUCGUUACACAGGGAUAACACCAUAAUAUUUAUAUAUAAGUUGAUGUUCAAAACGAAUUGGAUUGAACUGAUCAGAACCUUAACACUAAAAAAAUACGUAUAUGUUUAAUGCAUAUCCUAUUUUGUCUGUUUAUAUUUAAAAACUCGGUGUUAAAUUUACUACAAUUAAUUGCCAAGCCUACUAUAAUGGGUGAUUACCAGGCCUGGGGUAAUGGUAAUUUGUAAUUGUAAUGCAUUGUAAUAUUACUUUUUCUUUAUGUAAUGCAAAGUAAUUUGUAAUGCACAUUUUCUUUAGUUUAAAAUCAAUGUAAUGCCUCCAUUACUGUACAUUACUUUUUGUAAAUUUGUAAAAUACAUGAAAUUGAAGAAUAUUGUAAAAUAAAAAUAAAAUAUUAACAAAAACGAAUGAAAGUAUUGAAUAAAAUUAUUGUCACAGUUAAUUACUGUAUUAAAUAAAUUGCACCAAACGUUAAAACACAUAUUAAGGUAAGAAAUAUAAAAUUGUUAAAAUCAUCAAGUCUUAGUCUUGGUUUCUGAUUUUUGUGUAAAAAGAUAUUGGGAAUAUUUUGGUGGCUGGUGGUCUAUGAAAAAUAUUCUAAAAAAAAUAUUAAACAAAACUAUAUAGAUGGAUGGAAAAAAUAUGAAGAUGAAACUUUCAUAAUUCUAUACAUGUAUUUCAAUGAAAAAUUGAAUAUGUCAAUCAACAUUUUUACACCAAACUGGGGUUUGGGUCCUGUCUGUGUUGUUAUUUUACCUUAUUAAUAUCAAAAUGUUUCUAUUGCAAUCAAAUCGUCUCAACUUAUGUUUGUCCUCAUGGAGCCCUUAGGCAUUAAACAAGAUAAUCCUUUAAUGGCACAUUUAUUAUAUCCCUUUGAAAUCCCUUUUUGAUGUCUUAAUGAUUAAGUGAUCAAUGAUAGAAACAAAAUUAUAUGAUAAUUUAUUUGUUUUUCACCACCGAAGAAACUUAAAAGUGACCUUUUCAGUUUCAUGCCUCCUAGUACUCCACCAAAGAGUAGACACAGGUUUGGUGCAGUACAUGAUUUUGACAUUUACUUGUCAAAGCCAUGAUUGUGCAGAAAUGUCAACCAAUCCACUGGAAUACCUGAAGUCAAAUUCACUGCAUCUUUCUUUAGCUAAUACAGCUAUAUGAAGUAUAUAGUCAUUUCCUCCACAUCAGCUCCUGUUGAAAGGUUUUUUAGUAUAUAUAAAAUGCCGGAAAGGUGUACAUACCUGAUCAUUGUUCUCUUAAUGACAGCAUAUUUGAAACACUUAUGGUAAUAAAGAGCAAUGGACAUGUUAAUACACCAGAUGAGUAUUUGAAGUCUAUGUCUAUAACACUGUAUAUAUAUAUAUGUACAUAUACAUGUACCCCGUUAAUAAUUUCUUACAAAAAUCUGUUUUUGAUUUUUUUUUAAUUUAUAUAUUGAAAAAGUAAUGUGUAAUGUAAUACAUUACACAGACAAAGUUAUUGUAAUUUAAUACAUUACAUGUGAGAAAAAAUGUAAUUGUAAUUGCAAUUGUAAUGGAAGAAGCACAAAGUAAUGCAUUACAUUGCAAUGUAAUGGCCCCAGGGCUGGUGAUUACACGACGGUUCUGCGAUCUUUCUGAAAUAAGUGUUAGAUAAUACAAAGGAUUACAGAUUUGAACAGUUGUGACAAUUAAAAUUGUUUUUUGUAAACUUAAGAAAAAGGGGACCCUCAAGACCAUUCUUAACAUGUGAUGGUCGAACGAUGAGCUGUCGCCUUGGCUUCAUGAUAGAUAACCGUUGACAAAUCAAAUGAAAUCCACUUUGAAAAUGAACAGAAAUAUAGUUCAAAACAACACAUCUGCAGGUCUGAUAAAAAAAGGAGGUAAACAACUAUGAAAAGUACAAACAAAACAAAAGGAAAAUGGAAGCUAAAAAACACCAAUAGUACAUUGUAAAUUGAUAUGUGCAUUACAUGAACUAAACUACUAGAUGUAUACCAUUGUAAAUAUUAAAUAUGAAUGUAUAAAAGAAUGAAUCAAUAAAUGAAUAAAUAGCUAAAAAUAACAAUUCAAUUAGGAAUGCAUACAAAAUCAAUCAAUUAAUCAGGCAUUAAAAUGUGUUUUCUUUAGAAUUCAAACAAAUAUUCGUGUCAUGUAAUGGAAAUGAGCAGUCAACAUUAGACACUUGGAAAAAGCCAACCAUGGGAGGGGAUAUAUGCCACAUGAAAGACUAAUGUACAAACCGACACCUCAGGAGUCCAAUAAUUGACAA